AUGUCAAUUUUCCAAAAUGCCGUAACCAACUCAGCAAGGAAAAAAGAAGGGAUAGUAAUCAGAGGUAUUGUUGAUCUUUGUCUGUCGGGUGCUAGUGCUAUAGUUGAUCACGAGAAUCAGAUGUACAACAAAGAGAAAACUAAAAUUUCACACUGGAAAUUCAAAGGAACACCUCUUGAGUUUGACUUCUAUGAUCAAAGUGAAAUCAAUAUUGAGUUCUUGUUGCUGUCAUAUGCUGCAUCUCAAGUCAAGCGGCUUUUUCCAUGGGAUCCAGGAGAACAUGACCAUUUAGUGAAAAUUACUGCGAUGAUACUAGUUGGAACUGCGGGACAGGUUAUUUCUGAACUUAUCAGCAGCAAAGUGAUCACUCAAAUGGCCCGAUGUAGCACAGAGAAUAAGAUACCACAGUCGGAUGCCUCGCUGUUGCCUUUGUCUGUCGAUUGCUUGUACCCAUUGGUCAACAUCUGUACAAGAUCUGUGAGAAGCAAUCUGAAAGCUAGCUCUCCAGUUCAGACGUACAAUGACAUGAAAGUGCAGACUAAAGGAAUCUAUGCAGCUGUUGUGUUACCAUGGGACACUGGCGUACAAUCCAUUGUAUGUACAAAUUUUACUACAUGUGCUACUGCCAGUUAUCUUCCAGGGAAGCAUACUCCAGCACAUAACAUGAACAUGGUGCAGGUUUUACAAAAGGAAAGAAUUAUGGGGCUGUACAAGGAUACUGAAGAGAUGAUUCCCAUAUCUCUAAGAGACCUACUGAGCAUCACUUUCUCAUACCAAGAUUGUAUAGCGCAUGAAGAUCUCUUUCAUCUGAAGCAGCGAGUGUUUCCUAAAUUUCCUUCUGAUCAAAUCUCAAUGGAGACAUUGACUGUGAUAAUGGUUGUUGCUACUUCCACUUCUUUUGAACCAGCACGACAAGAAUCCAAGUUCAUUGUGGUUUCUGCACAAGAGCUCAAGAACAUUGUUGUUAUUGUACAAGGUCCAUACUAUACCAAUUCUAACCCUACAGGUUGUGGACUAUUCUGGGAAACAAACUCUUCAUGUUCAACCUUGCGACAAUCUGUAUCAUAUAUAUGGGUGUACAAGCGAUUUGACCCAAGAGAUCCACCAUUGGCAUUGUUGUUCAACAUGGCGAUGCAAUCAGGGGAAUGCUAUGCUACGGUGAAACAAAGGAAGUGUCAGAAGCUCAAACAUCUUGAAAUCAUAUGUUGGACGUCUCCAAUUUGGAUCAUAUCAUUUAUGCCUCCCUGA
Molecule: ribosomal RNA, 1248 nt
Filed under: Triticum aestivum (bread wheat)
Lineage: Eukaryota; Viridiplantae; Streptophyta; Magnoliopsida; Poales; Poaceae
Description: partial small subunit ribosomal RNA
Source: RNAcentral